GCAGUGGUGGUUCAGGGUAGAAUUCUUACCUUCCAUGAGGAGACCCGGGUUCAAUUCCUGGCCAAUUCA
Molecule: transfer RNA, 69 nt
Filed under: Loxodonta africana (African savanna elephant)
Lineage: Eukaryota; Metazoa; Chordata; Mammalia; Proboscidea; Elephantidae
Rfam family: tRNA
About the family: Transfer RNA (tRNA) molecules are approximately 80 nucleotides in length.
Source: Rfam by way of RNAcentral